This 674-nucleotide ribosomal RNA is filed under the name uncultured bacterium. RNAcentral describes it as "bacterial SSU rRNA". It matches the Rfam family "Bacterial small subunit ribosomal RNA", at positions 77 to 750 of the family's 1533-position model. The record is from RNAcentral.
UUGCUUUUUUGGUGGCGACCGGCGCACGGGUGAGUAACGCGUAUGCAACCUACCUUUUACUGGGGGAUAGCCCGGAGAAAUCCGGAUUAAUACCCCAUAGUAUUAUCGGAAAGCAUUUUUUGAUAAUUAAAGUUUCGGCGGUAAAAGAUGGGCAUGCGUUCCAUUAGCUAGAUGGUAAGGUAACGGCUUACCAUGGCAACGAUGGAUAGGGGGUCUGAGAGGAUGGUCCCCCACACUGGUACUGAGACACGGACCAGACUCCUACGGGAGGCAGCAGUGAGGAAUAUUGGUCAAUGGACGCAAGUCUGAACCAGCCAUGCCGCGUGAAGGAUGAAUGCCCUAUGGGUUGUAAACUUCUUUUAUUUGGGAAUAAACCUCUCUACGUGUAGAGAGCUGAAGGUACCAAACGAAUAAGCACCGGCUAACUCCGUGCCAGCAGCCGCGGUAAUACGGAGGGUGCAAGCGUUAUCCGGAAUCAUUGGGUUUAAAGGGUCCGCAGGCGGAUUUAUAAGUCAGUGGUGAAAUCUCACAGCUUAACUGUGAAACUGCCAUUGAUACUGUAAGUCUUGAAUUCGGUCGAAGUGGGCGGAAUAUGACAUGUAGCGGUGAAAUGCUUAGAUAUGUCAUAGAACACCGAUAGCGAAGCAGCUCACUAGGCCUGGAUUGACGCUCAG